RNAcentral lists this transfer RNA (69 nucleotides) under Ictidomys tridecemlineatus (thirteen-lined ground squirrel). Its description in RNAcentral is "Spermophilus tridecemlineatus (thirteen-lined ground squirrel) tRNA". It matches the Rfam family "tRNA". From Rfam's summary of the family: Transfer RNA (tRNA) molecules are approximately 80 nucleotides in length. Their secondary structure includes four short double-helical elements and three loops (D, anti-codon, and T loops). Further hydrogen bonds mediate the characteristic L-shaped molecular structure. tRNAs have two regions of fundamental functional importance: the anti-codon, which is responsible for specific mRNA codon recognition, and the 3' end, to which the tRNAs corresponding amino acid is attached (by aminoacyl-tRNA synthetases). tRNAs cope with the degeneracy of the genetic code in two manners: having more than one tRNA (with a specific anti-codon) for a particular amino acid; and 'wobble' base-pairing, i.e. permitting non-standard base-pairing at the 3rd anti-codon position. The record is from Rfam by way of RNAcentral. Lineage: Eukaryota; Metazoa; Chordata; Mammalia; Rodentia; Sciuridae.
GGGGUUGUGGCUCAGCGGUAGAGCGCUUGCCCAGCAGGUGCAAGUCCCAGGGUUCGAUCCUCAGCACCA